AUUGAUUGAAGAGCCAAAAUGAGAUGUGGCAGAUGUAGAAGAAGCUGAAGAAAAUCUGGAGCACAAAAUCAUUUGCAGCAUGUGGGGGAUCCCAGGAGGGUGGAAGGUCAGAGGGAACAUUAAAUCAGCAUGCUGUCAAUUGGGAAUGUGUUUUAUUGUGGGAUAUGCAUCUUUCCAAAACCAGCAUCAAUGGGCACCUUUAAAAUACUGAAGAGGAUGAUAACAUUCAAAUAUGAUGUUUUAAUCACACUUUGGUUCCUGAGUGAAAAUAAUAAUGGUUGAAGCAAUAAUAGUAAUUAAAAUAAAUAUAACUGUGUAUCAUUCUUGCUAUUAUUUAUGCUUUUCAGAAAGUUUUAUGGCUCAGCAGAAAAGGAAGAUUUUUCAGGCCUUCAUUAAUAGGACUAUUACAUCCCAGUGACUGUAGCAAACCACUUCACAAAUCUAAAGUGUUGAAAAUAACUUGAGCUUUCUGCAGAACACCCCGUACUUUAGGUCUCUGCUGUCUCCUGCAACUCAAAUUUGCAUUGUACUCAACAGAUAAACACCAUUAUUAGGCUAGGCAUUUAGGCAAUGAGAUGCAGUCAGUUUCAUUUCAUGCCAAGUUUCAGUCGGCAUCUCACUGUUUCAAUAAGUAGCUUCUUAAUGUGAUGUUAAAUCCCUGCUUUUCUCCAAAUCUCUCUCUCUGGAAUGUGGCUGAUUUGGCAGACCUUGCAUAAACACAUGGAAAAACAGCAGCAAGUAAGUAACAUGGGUAAUCUCUGCACUGCAUUUGAACUUUGUGUUAGUUGGCCUAUUUUAGCCUUGGAUAAAAGCUUUUCUUCCAGCUCUACAGCAUGAGGACAUCCACUGGGUCCCCUGGAGCUGCAGACUACUCCUUGCCACUGCUGGUGGGGCCAGCCCCUGAGAUCUGGGCUUUGCUCUCACACACGCUUUCACUAUCAUCUGAGACAUAUUGUGCAGGCAAAACCAGACUGCCCCAGAGUGCAGAGGAUCACCCGGAGCGGAGGCAACCAGGAUACGUGCCUUGGUCUGGAAGGUGUGGGGGUGUUCCUGUGCUCCCAGCAAAGACAGGGGCAGGAGAGCCUGCAUCUCUGUGUGACUCUCUCCCUCAGCAGCAGGAUGAAGAUGAAGAUUUCCUUUUGCUGUCAUGUCAGACAAGAGGGGAAGAUGGCUGAAGGAGUUUGGUUUCUGGCUUAGAUUCUCUAACACCGUUCAAGACAACACACCCUUCCCAGGGGAAGAUGGCUGAAGGAGUUUGGUUUCUGGCUUAGAUUCUUCAACACCCUUCAAGACAACACACCCUUCCCAGUAUGCAGAGGGUUCCAAAGCGCAGAGUCCUGCAGUCUUCCUUCACCAGAGUUGGUGUCUACUGCUGCUGUCCAAGGAGAGCCUGAGACAGGAAGUUCACCAUGACAUGAGAGCACCCAGUGGAGCAGUUCAGCAACAGGAAUGAAAAGGUAAGGAAAAGCAGACCUUUUACCAUCUGUUACAGGUAUUAGCAAUUAGCUGUGGGUCAGAACCCCCAGACAGUUGAACACAUUCCUCCAUCCAAGGCUAUUAAUGCAGAAAUAGGCAUACAACCUCUGGCUCAGGAAAUUUUGACUGAGCAGACUGCAUAACCCCUGGCCACAUGUCAGGAAAGGGAUUACUUGCUUUACCCACUGCUUUUCUACUUCUCCUAUGCACUUGUGAAAUGAAUUCUUCCCCAUAAAGCAGGUGUGUGGCUUGGGCAACCUCUCUCUGCUCACCUGCACAGUUCACAGGUUCCCUAAGCAGAGGUUAACAAGUAUACGUGGGAGAUGACUUGCAUUACUUCUUAAUCCAGGCUUGUCCUGGAAUUAACUGUGGCCUAGGCAACAAAUGAAACAAACAAGAAUUUGCAGCUUAAGAGCUUUCCUAUCGGUGAAUUCUCCUCCUCCU
This is a non-coding RNA of Anas platyrhynchos (mallard), 1920 nucleotides long. NCBI's taxonomy places the organism in Eukaryota, Metazoa, Chordata, Aves, Anseriformes, Anatidae. The record is from RefSeq and is a predicted model, not a curated record.